RNAcentral lists this ribosomal RNA (1005 nucleotides) under uncultured bacterium. RNAcentral describes it as "bacterial SSU rRNA". It matches the Rfam family "Bacterial small subunit ribosomal RNA", at positions 355 to 1375 of the family's 1533-position model. The record is from RNAcentral.
UGGGGAAUAUUGCACAAUGGGGGAAACCCUGAUGCAGCAACCCCCCGUGAAGGAAGAAGGCCUUUGGGUCGUAAACUUCUGUCCUAAGGGAAGAUAAUGACGGUACCUUUGGAGGAAGCCCCGGCUAACUACGUGCCAGCAGCCGCGGUAAUACGUAGGGGGCGAGCGUUAUCCGGAAUUAUUGGGCGUAAAGGGCUCGUAGGCGGUUCGUCGCGUCCGGUGUGAAAGUCCAUCGCUUAACGGUGGAUCUGCGCCGGGUACGGGCGGGCUGGAGUGCGGUAGGGGAGACUGGAAUUCCCGGUGUAACGGUGGAAUGUGUAGAUAUCGGGAAGAACACCAAUGGCGAAGGCAGGUCUCUGGGCCGUUACUGACGCUGAGGAGCGAAAGCGUGGGGAGCGAACAGGAUUAGAUACCCUGGUAGUCCACGCCGUAAACGGUGGAUGCUGGAUGUGGGGCCCGUUCCACGGGUUCCGUGUCGGAGCUAACGCGUUAAGCAUCCCGCCUGGGGAGUACGGCCGCAAGGCUAAAACUCAAAGAAAUUGACGGGGGCCCGCACAAGCGGCGGAGCAUGCGGAUUAAUUCGAUGCAACGCGAAGAACCUUACCUGGGCUUGACAUGUUCCCGACAGCCGUAGAGAUGCGGCCUCCCUUCGGGGCGGGUUCACAGGUGGUGCAUGGUCGUCGUCAGCUCGUGUCGUGAGAUGUUGGGUUAAGUCCCGCAACGAGCGCAACCCUCGCCCUGUGUUGCCAGCACGUCAUGGUGGGAACUCACGGGGGACCGCCGGGGUCAACUCGGAGGAAGGUGGGGAUGACGUCAGAUCAUCAUGCCCCUUACGUCCAGGGCUUCACGCAUGCUACAAUGGCCGGUACAACGGGAUGCGACAUGGCGACAUGGAGCGGAUCCCUGAAAACCGGUCUCAGUUCGGAUUGGAGUCUGCAACCCGACUCCAUGAAGGCGGAGUCGCUAGUAAUCGCGGAUCGGCAACGCCGCGGUGAAUGCGUUCCC